CUUGACCGACCCCAGCCACAGCGGACGAUCCUCCGGCCGACCCUGCCCAUAAGUCUCCAGCAGGGCCUGAGCCUC
Molecule: antisense RNA, 75 nt
Filed under: Streptomyces acidiscabies
Lineage: Bacteria; Bacillati; Actinomycetota; Actinomycetes; Kitasatosporales; Streptomycetaceae
Rfam family: ASpks TB sRNA
Source: RNAcentral